AAAAAAAAGGGGCUAGCAAAGUUGUUUAGAGCUAAGAUUUGUUUAGAAGUUGAGAAAAUCCUUUAUAGAUUUCAAAGGAAAAGAGUUUUAUGUGCAAAGUGUUCUUGGGAUCUUUUGGUGAGAGAUGAGAGUUGGGUUUGACAUUGGGAAGUGAUUGUGUAACCUGUAUGUUUGGGAAAAGGGUAAAACAAUGGAGAUUGGACAUUGUAUGCAUGAGUUGGUCACUUUCUUAGAUAUAUUAUGUGCAAUGUCAAGACUACUUGUUUUGAGAGUAAACCACUUUAAAAGAU
This 290-nucleotide long non-coding RNA is filed under the name Brassica napus (rape). Its description in RNAcentral is "long non-coding RNA (BNAP_LNC024360)". Lineage: Eukaryota; Viridiplantae; Streptophyta; Magnoliopsida; Brassicales; Brassicaceae. The record is from RNAcentral.